CGCCUCCGCCCACGGCCGGGCCGCGGCCCCCGCCUCGGCGCCCCGCUGGCAUCCUCAGGCCCGGCCUCGUGAGGCGCCCGGUACCGUGGGGGCCCCAGCUCCCCUUCCUCACCUAAAAUUCUCGCCGCGCCCCCUCCCUCCCUGGCGCCUGGAGCCGCGUCCAGCCCGUGGUCCCUUCGCCGGACGUGGCUGCCGUGCGGUCCUCCCCCGCCCCUUGCUUGGGUUCCUGCGCCCCUAGUCCUAGCUCCCCUCUUUUGUAUCCCCCUUUAAUCCCCAUCCCCCCAUUCAACCCAACUUCAGCCCCCGCGCUGCGCCCCCCUUCCCCGGCCCGGCUCGAUUGGCCGCUUCCUGAGCUGUCAUAUUUGAGUCCGGCGCUCUUAUUGGGCGAUUCUCUGGCCGGGCGGCUAUACCAAAGGAGGGCGCACCGGCCUGGGGGCGCCCAGGCAGCGACUGCCGCAGGGAGACGAAGACCAGAGUCCCUGCAGGGCCGGAGGGGCCCAAGAGCCAGACCCGGAAAUGGACGGUGGAGAUGGAAAGACUGAGUAUCUCUGAGGCGCAGGAAGACAGUGACGUGAAAGAUGGAGAUGCAGUGGGUGAGGCCGAUGCAGCUAGGGCGGGGCGGACAGGAACGCUUUGGUGGAGAGUUACCCAGAGGGAACCCCACAGACAGAAUUACGAACACCUGGCUUUUGUGAAGAGCUCUUUGCCCGUUCAUACUUUUUUUUUUAAAUCUCAUUUGAUUCCCCUCAAUAACCCUGGGUUGUGACAGGGGACAGGGCCCGUGUGAUUAUUCCCAGUUUAUAAAUGCGGAAACUAAGGCUUCAGAGCCUAAUUAACUUGCCAUGGGCCACACAGGUCUCCUGACUUGCAACCGAAAGAUCUUUCGUCAGCGCCAGGCUGGCUCCCUACCUAACAAGGUGUUAGCCUACCUAGCAAGGUGUUAGCCGGAAGGAUGCGCCCCAGGGCAGGGUGGAGAGCCCCGGCUGGAGGAGGACGGGGGAGAGGGCAGAGAAGGACAAGUUACUCCUGCACAGCGCCAGCGAGAAACAGGCAGGAGUGGAGAGGACUUUACUUCGGGUCAGAGAGGACCUAGGCCUGUGGAAUGAUGUACCUAUCCAAUUCCCCUUGGCCCUAAGCUGUCCUGCUGGAAGCUCCAGCAGUCUAAACACUGGGAUGGGUGGGGACGUGUCACCUCUACUCCGGGGAGGGAGAAACAACCUUCACUUUACUCUUCUUCCUCCAGCUCUCUCUGCAGAGCUUCUGACAAAGAGGCUAGAGGUCUGGGUGAGCUUCUCUUUCUUUCUCUGUUGGUCAUCUCUUUGCAAAUUGGAAGAUAAACCUUGCCAGAGUUACAAAUUGGGAGGAGAAACAUUCCAAGAGAUCUGAAUAAACUAACCCUAGAGUAUUCCAGCCUUUGAGUAAUCAAUCCAGGAUUAGCAAAGUCAUAAAAAGCACCAUGAAUUUAGUCAGCAAACAUUCCUAGAGCAUCCCCUGUGUGCAAAGCACUGUGCUAGGUGCCUUAGGGAUAGAGAGGUGACUCAACUCUGGUUACAAUCAGGGAGGGAGAGGAGCUAAGCCACUAAUUCCAGUUCAGAGCACAGUUCAGUCAGUGUUCAAUAGAGGUCCAAAGAGAGCGUUUUGGGAGUUUGGAGAGAGGAGGCAUUAAUUCCCACUGUAAGGGCCAAAAAGACUCUAGAGGUUGAAUCUGGGGCCAGCAGAGAAGGAGGAGUCAGAAGAAAAGGAGGAUGGACUAAUAUUUAUUAAGCAACAACAAUAUGUCUGUGCAUCUUAUUGUCGCAUAACCGUUUUGAGGAAGAUGUUAUUCUCUCCACUAUAAAGGUGAGAAAACCGAGACUUAGAGAAUCAAAGUUUGCCCAGGGUCCAGAGUUUGUAGUAGGAUGAAACAUAAGUUCAGUCUGCUCCUUGCACUCUGCCACACAGCCAUGUAGCAAAUACGAUAUGGGAGGAACACUGCAUGGACAGAAGCCAGAUGGCCUUCAAUGUGAUUGGGUUCCAUCAUUGAUUCCCUUCUCAUUCCCUGAGCUCCCCCUAGGUCAUUCCUUUCCAUUUUAUUCAAAAAUUUUAAGUAACCAUCAUCUUAUAGCAAAAGCUAUGUAUGAUUAAGUGUGUAAAAAGUAGAAUAGAGAAAGACAAAAGAAAACACAUUCAUAAUUACAACACCUAGAAAGAACCAUUAACAUCUUAAUUCUUUUCUUAACAAAAAAUGGGACUUUACAAAGAGUUUUAGAAUCUGCUUUUUUCUACUUAGCAAAAUAUUGUGGAUAUAUUUUUAUGCCAAUAAGCAUCCAUCUACAAUAUCCAUUUUAUUGUCCAAACAGAAUUCCAUUGCAUGAAUAUAGCAUCAUUUAUUUAACCAGUCCCCUACUGUUGGACAUUUCUCACUGUCUUGGCAGUUUGUAAAGUUUCCACUGUUUUACUGUUAUAAACAAUGAGCAUUUUUGUAGAUAAAUCUUCACACACAUCUUUACUUGUAUCCUUAGGAGAAAUUCCUACAAGUAGAAUUGCUGGGCCAAAGGAUAAACAUUUUUUCGCUAAGGAUUUCUGAAGUCUGAGUCUUCAGCCCCUGCCUCCCUUCCCAGUUCCAAGCUUACCCCCAUCUACUGGAGAACUCCCCAUGGAUGUUCCUUGGUAUCCACCAGCACCCCAGAUUCAGUUUGUCUAAAACUAAGGUCAUCCCCCAAGAAGCUUGCUCCUCCCUCUGUUUUCUCGCCACUGGUGGAAUUACCAUCCCCCAAACUCCCAGAUCUUAGAGUGGUGAGCCCUCCUAUCCCAGUUCCCAGAGUCCUGCCACCGUGCCCUUGUCUUUUCACUUCUAUCUCUUCUUCCACAUUCUCUGGCUAAUACCUUCGCCCAGAUCCUCCCUACUCAUUGCCUAGACAAUUACCAACUCUCCCUCCUUGCCCUCCAAUCUGUCCUCCACUUUGUCCCCAUCUGAUCAUGCCUGUCACAACCCAACUGAAAACUGUCCCCAAAACUGCCUCUUCCUCGCUGCUAGCUUUCACGAUCCACCACUUCCGCACAUCAUCCAGCCACCGUAACGGCUCUUUAAAUCUCUGCAGAGAUCACCCUUUUCACAUGCACCCCCAGCACGAACCAAAUCUGUAGCAUCUCUGCGAUGCCUCUCUAAUGCCUUUUCCUCCCCCACCGCCCCAGGCUGCUAGGCACUCCUUCCUCAGUUCCCAGCACACCUUGCUUUUAUCUCUAUUAUAGCACUUGUUACACUGUAUUAUCUUGACUUGUUUUCAGAGCUGUCUCCACAGUCUGCUGAACUCUUUGAGGGCAGAAUUGGUAUCUUACUCAUUCUUGUGCCCCAUACCUGGCACAUAGGAGGGACCCCUUGGCUGUCUGUUGGAUAAAGAAAUGGUACAUCUGGGGAUUAGUGAUGGGAAUUGAGUCUGAAGGGUGGGGUGGAGUGAGGGGACUGACUGGCAACCAUGGGUGAAGGUGGGUUGGGCUCUUUAACGCUAUGUGGAGGAGGGUGGGCUUCAGUUUAAAGACAAUGAAGAGUCCAUGAAUUGGGGGACAGGGGUGUCAAGGGCCAUUAUGUUCUGGGAGGCAAACUCUGGCAAUGUUGUAACGAGAUAGGAAAAGCAAGAUCCAAGGGCAGAGGGGACCAGUCAGGAAGCUAUGGCAGAGCAGAUGUAUUGAUUGAUGGAGCCCAGAAGUGACAUGGUGAUGGGAAUGAUGCCAUUGGCUGGAGGACACCUGUGAAGGGCUGACGAGGAAACCCAGGGGUCAACCACCGUGUAGAGGAGGAGUCCCAAAGGUCAGAUGAAAACCAAGAAAGGUGGGGGUCACAGGAACAAAAGGCAGAGGUUUUGAAGAGCUGCUCCAGGAUGUGCACCUGGCCGUUGUCAUCGAUAGGGGCUGACCACCUCGGGCCUCUCUCUGAACGCAUGGCUUGUGGGAUUUUAGUUCCCUGACCAGGGAUUGAACCUGGGCCCUCAACUGGGAGAGCAUGGAGUCCUAACCAUUGGACUACCAGGGAAUUCCCUGAAGGCUCAUUUUUAAGGCAAAAUGGCACCCUUUCUCCUCCCAAACCAAUGAGCUUUGCUGAGAGCAGAUCCAGCACAGAAGACAGCCAGAGCCAUGCCGGUUGGCAGACACUUGUCUUUAGCAAAUGUAAUUAAAGGCAGCAGCAAGCAUCCCACCUGAUGAGAAAACAGUCUUCCACUCAACACAGAGGACUAAGGGAAGAGCGCUAAACCUGGGGUCAGAAUACCUGGAGGUUCUACACCAGCUCUGCCACUUUCCAGCUGUGUGAUAUCCGACAAGUCACACGUCACCUCUCUGAACUGCCGUCCCAGCAAGGGUAACUGCUCUCCUACCCUUCACGAUUCGUUAUGAGGAUCCGGACAAUGGUGUGAAAUUCCUUUUCACAUUAUUCACCGUUAUGUAAAAUGGGAAUCAUUCUUAAUAAUAGCGAAUUAAUAAAGUCAUUCUUAAUAAAUCCAGAUAUUCAUUUAAGAGGUUAGCAUGGAAUGAGGUACAUCUCUCAGGGUCUCAGGCUCUUGCAUACAUUUAUAGAUGACUGUGAUAAAUAUUUUUAUGUCUGUGCUGCGUGUGUACCAGCUCGUCUAGUAGUCUGGGAGAUCUACCCUUUCAUCUCUGCUGUGUUCAAAGCAGGGCCCCCAGGGCCAUGCAGAUGAGGUCUCUGUUCUCAAAGACCUUCCCUCUUUCAGGAUUCUGACAGACUGCAGCCUGUCUACCCUGCAGACUGGAGAGCUGCGCCCUCCCACAGGCGUGGGUGGUGAUUUGGGUGGUGAUUAGAGUGGCCUGUGAGGCGCUUGAGCGGUGCCGAGUGUUGUUUCUCCUCUCACUGGCCACUCUGCUUGGCCUUGGAGUGGUUUAGUCCAGUCUCUGUAGCCCUGACUGUGAAUCUGUGGUUAGGGAUGGCGAGCUAAGCCGUGUUAGCAAUCGUGCUGGGGCUGGCUGACCUUCCCCAAGCCAGGAUAAUCUCUUUCCCUGGCAACAGGCAGAAGCACCAAGGGACAGUGACAGAUUGUGAAAUCCUGGGGCUGGGCUUUCUAGAAUUACUUGAAAAGAGAAAAGUGUAACAAUACCUUGCGUUUGUGUAGUUCUUUUAAAAAGAAAGAAAACCGUUUUUCAAAGCUGUUCAAGGAGAAGGCAGCUUUGGAAUUUUCUGGUAGAGAGCAAACCAGAUGGGUAAGAAAUGUAUUGUUUUAUUCUUAUUGACGCAGUAACAGUUUGAGAGUGUUAGGAGAAAUCUCUGCUCUCCCCCCACCCCCUGCCCCACACUGUACACAGGUGGGGAUAUGGAGGAAGAGAGAAGUAGAGUGACUUGAUCAAUAUUACACAGCAUGAGGGGCAGAAUUUGACCUAAACUUCUUGACUUUUAUUGUCAACCCAAAGCAGACAGAGGAUGCAGAAGCUGAAUGACCUAACAGCUUGUUAUGUCCACCUGGGAUUCUGGCAUGUAGACAGCUCUUCCCGAGUCAGUCUUUGUACUUGGUUCUCUGGGGCAUACAAGAAUAUGCUUCACUGCUUGUAGGUCUGAAAGCAAUGAAGAAAUGUAGGGGUGGUACAUGAGAAAAAUUGCCGUCCUCUUGCAAGAUACCUACCAAGGAUCUUUAAGCAAGGCAGGAGCAGACUCAACAGGCAGGGACGGACG
Long non-coding RNA from Globicephala melas (long-finned pilot whale), 5653 nucleotides. RefSeq lists it as uncharacterized. NCBI's taxonomy places the organism in Eukaryota, Metazoa, Chordata, Mammalia, Artiodactyla, Delphinidae. The record is from RefSeq and is a predicted model, not a curated record.